CGCCACACUUGAAGCUUCCUCCUUUGAUUCUCCACUCCAUGAACCAUUUUUAUGAAAAGGCACACAACUGAUAAAAAGGUUUGUGCAUCAAAACCCAAUAUCUGCUGUCCACUACUCUCAAAGAUUUCUGCAAUAUGCUACACUUCAAACUUCCUUAUCCAUAAUGAUUCUCCACUCCAUUAACUGUUUUUAUGAAGCAACACAAAACCAAUUAAAAAGGUUUGUGCAUCAAAACUCAAUAUCUACUGUCCACUACUCCCAAAAGAUUUCUGCAAUACGCUACACUUCAAACUUCCUUCUCCAUUAUAUGAUUCUCCGCUCCAUUAAUUGUUUUUAUGAAGCAGCACAAAACCAAUAAAAAAGGUAAAUUCCAUUGUAUA
This is a long non-coding RNA of Cyprinus carpio (common carp), 380 nucleotides long. RefSeq lists it as uncharacterized. Lineage: Eukaryota; Metazoa; Chordata; Actinopteri; Cypriniformes; Cyprinidae. The record is from RefSeq and is a predicted model, not a curated record. The transcript is spliced from 5 exons.